RNAcentral lists this ribosomal RNA (583 nucleotides) under Bacillus velezensis. Its description in RNAcentral is "bacterial SSU rRNA". It matches the Rfam family "Bacterial small subunit ribosomal RNA", at positions 1 to 565 of the family's 1533-position model. The record is from RNAcentral. Lineage: Bacteria; Bacillati; Bacillota; Bacilli; Caryophanales; Bacillaceae.
UUUAUCGGAGAGUUUGAUCCUGGCUCAGGACGAACGCUGGCGGCGUGCCUAAUACAUGCAAGUCGAGCGGACAGAUGGGAGCUUGCUCCCUGAUGUUAGCGGCGGACGGGUGAGUAACACGUGGGUAACCUGCCUGUAAGACUGGGAUAACUCCGGGAAACCGGGGCUAAUACCGGAUGGUUGUCUGAACCGCAUGGUUCAGACAUAAAAGGUGGCUUCGGCUACCACUUACAGAUGGACCCGCGGCGCAUUAGCUAGUUGGUGAGGUAACGGCUCACCAAGGCAACGAUGCGUAGCCGACCUGAGAGGGUGAUCGGCCACACUGGGACUGAGACACGGCCCAGACUCCUACGGGAGGCAGCAGUAGGGAAUCUUCCGCAAUGGACGAAAGUCUGACGGAGCAACGCCGCGUGAGUGAUGAAGGUUUUCGGAUCGUAAAGCUCUGUUGUUAGGGAAGAACAAGUGCCGUUCAAAUAGGGCGGCACCUUGACGGUACCUAACCAGAAAGCCACGGCUAACUACGUGCCAGCAGCCGCGGUAAUACGUAGGUGGCAAGCGUUGUCCGGAAUUAUUGGGCGUAAAG